RNAcentral lists this ribosomal RNA (440 nucleotides) under uncultured bacterium. RNAcentral's name for it is "partial 16S ribosomal RNA". It matches the Rfam family "Bacterial small subunit ribosomal RNA", at positions 338 to 795 of the family's 1533-position model. The record is from RNAcentral.
CCUACGGGUGGCAGCAGUGGGGGAUAUUGCACAAUGGGGGAAACCCUGAUGCAGCGACGCCGCGUGGGGGAAGACGGUCCUCUGGAUUGUAAACCACUGUCCCCAGGGACGAAGAUGACGGUACCUGGGGAGGAAGCUCCGGCUAACUACGUGCCAGCAGCCGCGGUAAUACGCAGGGAGCGAGCGGUGUCCGGAAUUACUGGGUGUAACGGGAGCGUAGGUGGGGAUGAAAGUUGGGUGUCAAAACUACCGGCUCAACUGGUAGUCGCACUCGAAACUGCAGCUCUUGAGUGACGGAGAGGCAGGCGGAAUUCCUGGUGUAGCGGUGAAAUGCGUAGAUAUUAGGAGGAACACCAGUGGCGAAGGCGGCCUGCUGGGCUUUUACUGACGCUGAGGCUCGAAAGUGUGGGGAGCAAACAGGAUUAGAUACCCGGGUAGUC